This is an RNA transcript of Leptopilina boulardi, 2673 nucleotides long. It is a transcript of the gene named fatty-acid amide hydrolase 2-like, with no coding region annotated. The record is from RefSeq and is a predicted model, not a curated record. The transcript has 10 exons. Lineage: Eukaryota; Metazoa; Arthropoda; Insecta; Hymenoptera; Figitidae.
ACAAACACAAAUUCAUGUAAACUUUAAUCGCAAUGUGAUAAUAAAUUAUUUGCCAAGUGUGUUUAAUUUAAAAAAAAAGUUUUAGGUCACAUUUUUUUAUAUUAAAAUCUCUGAAAAAUAAAAUCAUGUGCUCUAAUGUCAGAAAUAAGAAUAAAACGGUUCCAAAUCAAGGAUCCUUAGCAAUAAUGCUAAAGCAAAUAGCAGUGGAUUUUAUGAAAUGUAUGAUUGUCCAGAUACAUUGGCUUUUUGACAUUAUUGUCGAUUUUUGCUUUAGUCUCUAUUAUGACAGUAAAGUGAGACGAGUACCUCCAGUAAAUGAUCAACUAUUACUGGAAAGUGGCGUCAGUUUAGCAAAGAAAAUUAGAGAAGGAACUGUAACAUCAGAAAAAGUAGUUCGCACCUUCAUUGAUAGAUGCAAAGAGGUGAAUGGUUUGUUAAAUGCAAUUGUUGUGGAAUGUUACGAGGAUGCAAUAAAAGAGGCACAGGAGGUGGAUAAAUUAUUAAAGACAGAUGUGGACCGAGAAAUACUGAAGAAAACAAAACCAUAUCUUGGUGUUCCAUUUACAACAAAAGAGAGCAAUGAAGCAAAAGGUAUGAAGCAUACAAUGGGAAUGAUGUGCAGACGUGACUAUGUUUCAACGGAAGAUGCAACGGUUGUGGAAUUAUUGAAACAAGCCGGAGGAAUAAUAAUUGCAAAAUCAAAUAUUCCCGAAAUGAAUUUAUGGAUUGAAUCGCGAAAUAAUGUUUAUGGACAAACAAAUAAUCCUUACAAUACAACGAGAACAGUUGGUGGAAGUAGUGGUGGCGAGGGUGCUAUUGUUGCCGCUUGUGGUACAGCAAUUUCAAUUGGUAGCGAUAUUGGUGGUUCGUCACGAAUUCCCGCUUUUUGCAAUGGGAUUUUUGGAUUUAAACCCAGUGAAGGAGUGACGUCUUGUAAAGGCAUUGGAAUGAGAAUGGAAAAUUCUAAAGACACAAUGGUUAGUGCUGGACCAAUAUGUAAAAAUGCCGAAGAUCUUGAGCCACUUUUACGAGUUUUAAUUGGUGAAAAUAUUUCCAUGUUGAGAUUAGACACGAGGGUUGACUUGAAGAAUUUAAAAGUUUUUUAUCAAGUUUCCUCGGGUGAUAUUCGAUCAAGUUUAGUCAGUAAAGAAGUAAGGUCUACAUUAAUGAAGGCUGUUCGACAUUUUGAACAACUCACUGGAUCUGCAACAAAGAUCAAAAUGCCGGGUUCUGAAUAUAGUUACCGCCUGUGGAGGUAUUGGAUGACACAGGAGAAGGGUGAUUUUCGCCAUCUAAUAACAAAUAGAAAGAGUGUUGCUAGUGCAAAAACAGAAGUGAUGAAAUUAGCGAGUUGCCAAUCGGAAUUAACAUUGGCAGCAAUUCUCAAAUUAGCCGAUAUGGACUUUUUACCACAGGAAAAUGGAGAUUGGGCACGAUAUAUAACUUUAAAUUUGCAAAAAUAUUUAUUAGAUAAACUUAAUGAUAAUGGAAUACUUCUCUAUCCAUCGUUACCAAAUGCUGUUCCCUAUCAUUAUGCAUCAUAUUUGAAACCAUUUAAUUUUGGUUAUUUUUGUCUCUUUAAUGCACUACGAUUUCCGGUUUGUCAAGUGCCAAUGGGAUUAGAUCGAAAUGGCCUGCCAACUGGAAUUCAGGUUGUUGCUGCUCCAUACAACGAUCAUCUUUGUCUUGCCGUAGCUAGAGAAUUGGAAAAAGUUUUUGGUGGAUGGGUCCCACCAUCAUAAAAAAUAUAAUUUUGUAAACUAUCAUAAAAAUAUGAUAGUUUUGCAAACUAUCAAAAAAAAAUAUGAUAGUUUCAAAAACUAUCAUAAAAAUAUGUUAAUUUUUGGAAUUUGUCUAUAGAUAUAUAAAAUGUAUAUAAAAAUAUAGCUGUUAGAGAAAAAUUGCAAACAAUUUAUAAGUACAGUGAGAAAUAGUGAAAAAAAAACAAAAGACUGCGUGCAAAAAAAGUCAAUUUUUUUUCUUGGAAAUUGACAAUUCCUUAUAAUAUUCCAAUUUUAGAAUUAAUAGAAUCUGAAAAAAAUACCAAAAUUAAGAAAAAAAUUUUAAAGUUUAAGAAAAAAUGAAUAAAUCAGGAUCAAAUUCGAACGUAAAUAAUAAUUCUCUAAAUAAUGAAAUUUCACGUUCCAAUGAUCAACCGCGAAAUUUCAUGAAGAUUAGUCAUUUAGUCGCUCAACGUCUACAAAAAGGACACGUACAAGAAGAAAAAAUUGAAGAUUCAAAUGACGAUGACGAUGAAGAAAAUUGGAUUAAUAAAUUAGCAGAAAUUGAUCGUAAUCACAGUAUUGAAAAAAAUCUCGAUAUUGCAGAAGCACAAAAAAUUUUAAAUUCUCUUUCCAGUUAUACUAAUGAAAAACUUGUUACAACUUGCCCUGUGGACAAGAAGAAGAUUAUAGAUUGCUACACUUUUAUGAAAGAUGACACAUUAAAAUGUGAACCCGAAGUAAAAGAAUUUAUCAAUUGUAUCGAUAAUUUAUUAUAUAAAGCAACUCACAUCAAUGAAAGGGACUCAAUAAGUGUUAUAUGUCCAAAAAAAAUGACUUACCGUGAAAGAUUUGAACGUACCUGUUUAAAUAAAUGAAAAAUUAUUCAAAAGUAAAAUAUAUGUAAAAUAUAGACAAAUAAUGAAUAAAAGUAAAAGAUUUGAAAAAUUAA